Molecule: long non-coding RNA, 545 nt
Filed under: Gossypium barbadense (sea-island cotton)
Lineage: Eukaryota; Viridiplantae; Streptophyta; Magnoliopsida; Malvales; Malvaceae
Description: long non-coding RNA (GBAR_LNC022089)
Source: RNAcentral
CCAAUCCUACCUCAAAUCUCCCCCAUUUAAUAAUCUUAUCAUAAACUCCGAGUCAAUUUAAUUCAAUUCUAAGUCAGCAACUGCAGUAUCUAUGCAUGUUUUCUUUUUACCAUCAUGAUUCAUGCAUGAGUCAUUUUACAUGCAAGGUUCAUAUAAAACAUCUAGGUUUUUACCUCUGGUUUUGGUUGUUGUCAACUUUUCUUUAGAUCAACAACUAUGACACUGAUGUUAUCCAAGCUUUUUCGUCCAAGAGCCAACCAAGUAAGCAAUUUAAUUCAAUAAUCUUAUCAUAAAAUCCGAGUCAAUUUAAUUCAAUUCUAAGUCAGCAACUGCAGUAUCUAUGCAUGUUUUCUUUUUACCAUCAUGAUUCAUGCAUGAGUCAUUUUACAUGCAAGGUUCAUAUAAAACAUCUAGGUUUUUACCUCUGGUUUUGGUUGCUGUCAACUUUUCUUUAGAUCAACAACUAUGACACUGAUGUUAUCCAAGCUUUUUCGUCCAAAAGCCAACCGAGUAAGCAGUGCAGCGGCGAGUACACUGCGAGAAGG